RNAcentral lists this ribosomal RNA (480 nucleotides) under uncultured eukaryote. RNAcentral's name for it is "SSU rRNA". It matches the Rfam family "Eukaryotic small subunit ribosomal RNA", at positions 1160 to 1662 of the family's 1831-position model. The record is from RNAcentral.
AAGGGCACCACCAGGAGUGGAGCCUGCGGCUUAAUUUGACUCAACACGGGGAAACUUACCAGGUCCUGACAUAGUAAGGAUUGACAGAUUGACAGCUCUUUCUUGAUUCUAUGGGUGGUGGUGCAUGGCCGUUCUUAGUUGGUGGAGUGAUUUGUCUGGUUAAUUCCGAUAACGAACGAGACCUUAACCUGCUAACUAGUUCAUUCCAUUACAUGGUUUGCAACUUCUUAGAGGGACUAUGUGUCGAUAAGCACAUGGAAGUUUGAGGCAAUAACAGGUCUGUGAUGCCCUUAUAUGUCCUGGGCUGCACGCGUGCUACACUGAUGCAUACAACAAGUUCCUAGUCUGACAAGGAUCAAACAAUGGCAAUCUUUAAUAUGCAUCGUGAUGGGGAUAGAUCUUUGCAAUUAUAGAUCUUGAACGAGGAAUUCCUAGUAAGUGCAAGUCAUCAUCUUGCAUUGAUUAUGUCCCUGCCCUUUG